UAUUGAGAGUUUGAUCCUGGCUCAGAACGAACGCUAGCGGCAGGUUUUAGGCAUGCAAGUCGAACGAGUAUUUAUACUAGUGGCGCACGAGUGAGUAACACGUGGGAACCUACCUUUCACUAAGGAAUAACUAUUAGAAAUGAUAGCUAAUACCUUAUACGCUCUACGGAGGAAAGAUUUAUCGGUGAUUGAUGGGCCCGCGCUAGAUUAGCUAGUUGGUAAGGUAAUGGCUUACCAAGGCGAUGAUCUAUAGCUGGUCUGAGAGGAUGAUCAGCCACGCUGACACUGAGAUACGGGUCAGACUCCUACGGGAGGCAGCAGCUAAGAAUUUUGGACAAUGGGGGAAACCCUGAUCCAGCCAUGCCGCGUGAAUGAUGACGGUUCUAGGAUUGUAAAGUUCUUUAGGUGGGGAAGAUAAUGACGGUACCCACAGAAUAAGCCCCGGCUAACUUCGUGCCAGCAGCCGCGGUAAUACGAAGGGGGCGAGCGUUGUUCGGAUUUAUUGGGCGUAAAGCAUUCGUAGGUGGUUUUUUAAGUGAGUAGUGAAAGCCUAGGGCUCAACCCUAGAACUGCUGCUCAAACUGAAUUACUAGAGCACAACAGAGAAGGGCGGAAUUUCAAGUGUAGGAGUAGAAUCCUUAGAUAUUUGAAGGAACACCAGUUGCGAAAGCGGCUCUUUGGGUUGUUGCUGACACUGAGGGAUGAUAGCGUGGGGAGCAAACAGGAUUAGAUACCCUGGUAGUCCACGCCGUAAACGAUGUAUACUUGCUGUUGGGCUUCUUCGGAGGCUUUGUGGCGUAGCUAACGCGUUAAGUAUACCGCCUGGGGAGUACGGUCGCAAGAUUAAAACUUAAAGGAAUUGACGGGGACCCGCACAAGCGGUGGAGUAUGUUGUUUAAUUCGAUACAACGCGAAAAACCUUACCAAUUCUUGACAUGUAUGCUGCGAAUUUCGGAAUCGAAGUUUUCAUUUAGUUGGGCAUACACAGAUGUUGCAUGGCUGUCGUCAGUUCGUGUCGUGAGAUGUUGGGUUAAGUCCUUAAACGAACGCAACCCCUACCAUUUGUUACUAACGCUUCGGGCGAGGACUCUAAUGGGACUGCCGGUGUUAAACCGGAGGAAGGUGGGGACGAUGUCAAGUCAUCAUGACUCUUACGAAUUGGGCUACAAACGUACUACAAUGGUGUUCACAACGGGUUGCUACCUCGCAAGGGGAUGCUAAUCUCUAAAAGACACCCCAGUUCAGAUUGUCCUCUGCAACUUGAGGGCAUGAAGUUGGAAUCGCUAGUAAUCGCAGAUCAGAAUGCUGCGGUGAAUCCGUUCUCGGGUCUUGUACACACCGCCUGUCAAGCCAUGAAAGUCGGUUUUUCCCAAAAGCAGUUGCUUAACCUUCGGGAUGGCGCUGUCUACGGAACGGCUGGUGAUUGGGGCUAAGUCAUAACAAGGUAGCCGUACGUGAACGUGCGGCUGGAUCACCUCCUUU
This 1482-nucleotide ribosomal RNA is filed under the name uncultured Alphaproteobacteria bacterium. RNAcentral's name for it is "bacterial SSU rRNA". It matches the Rfam family "Bacterial small subunit ribosomal RNA". Lineage: Bacteria; Pseudomonadati; Pseudomonadota; Alphaproteobacteria. The record is from RNAcentral.